GCUGGACAUGGUAGUGUGUGCCUGUGGUCCCAGCUCCUUGGGAAGUUGGAAUAGAAGGAUCACUUGAGUCUAGAAGUUGGAGACCAGUCUGGUCAACACAGUGAGACUCUGAUUCCA
RNAcentral lists this small RNA (117 nucleotides) under Marmota monax (woodchuck). Lineage: Eukaryota; Metazoa; Chordata; Mammalia; Rodentia; Sciuridae. The record is from RNAcentral.